RNAcentral lists this ribosomal RNA (468 nucleotides) under uncultured bacterium. Its description in RNAcentral is "partial 16S ribosomal RNA". It matches the Rfam family "Bacterial small subunit ribosomal RNA", at positions 28 to 507 of the family's 1533-position model. The record is from RNAcentral.
GACGAACGCUGGCGGCGUGCUUAACGCAUGCAAGUCGAACGGAAAGGCCCUUCUUUUGUGGGGUGCUCGAGUGGCGAACGGGUGAUUAACACGUGAGUAACCUGCCCUUUACUUUGGGAUAACUUCAGGAAACUGGGGCUAAUACCGGAUAGGAUCUCCUGCUGCAUGUUGGGGGUUGGAAAGUUUCGGCGGUUGGGGCUGGACUCGCGGCUUAUCAGCUUGUUGGUGGGGUAGUGGCUUACCAAGGCUUUGACGGGUAGCCGGCCUGAGAGGGUGACCGGCCACAUUGGGACUGAGAUACGGCCCAGACUCCUACGGGAGGCAGCAGUGGGGAAUAUUGCACAAUGGGCGGAAGCCUGAUGCAGCAAAGCCGCGUGCGGGAUGACGGCCUUCGGGUUGUAAACCGCGUUCGCCUGUGACGAAGCGUGAGUGACGGUAAUGGGUAAAGAAGCACCGGCUAACUACGUG